UCCGGUUGAUCCUGCCGGACCCGACUGCUAUCAGAGUGGGACUAAGCCAUGCGAGUCAACGCCGCAAGGCGUGGCACACGGCUCAGUAACACGUAGUCAACAUGCCCAGGGGACGUGGAUAACCUCGGGAAACUGAGGAUAAACCGCGAUAGGCCAACGUUUCUGGAAUGGACACUGGCUGAAACCUAUACGGCCCCUGGAUUGGACUGCGGCCGAUCAGGCUGUUGGUGAGGUAAUGGCCCACCAAACCUGUUACCGGUACGGGCUUUGAGAGAAGGAGCCCGGAGAUGGGCACUGAGACAAGGGCCCAGGCCCUAUGGGGCGCAGCAGGCGCGAAACCUCUGCAAUAGGCGAAAGCUUGACAGGGUUACUCUGAGUGAUGCCCGCUAAGGGCAUCUUUUGGCACCUCUAAAAAUGGUGCGGAAUAAGGGGUGGGCAAGUCUGGUGUCAGCCGCCGCGGUAAUACCAGCACCCCGAGUGGUCGGGACGAUUAUUG
Molecule: ribosomal RNA, 496 nt
Filed under: uncultured archaeon
Lineage: Archaea
Description: bacterial SSU rRNA
Rfam family: Archaeal small subunit ribosomal RNA
Source: RNAcentral